This 429-nucleotide ribosomal RNA is filed under the name bacterium. RNAcentral's name for it is "partial 16S ribosomal RNA". It matches the Rfam family "Bacterial small subunit ribosomal RNA", at positions 355 to 776 of the family's 1533-position model. The record is from RNAcentral.
UAGGGAAUCUUCCACAAUGGACGAAAGUCUGAUGGAGCAACGCCGCGUGAGUGAAGAAGGAUUUCGGUUCGUAAAACUCUGUUGUAAGGGAAGAACAAGUACAGUAGUAACUGGCUGUACCUUGACGGUACCUUAUUAGAAAGCCACGGCUAACUACGUGCCAGCAGCCGCAGUAAUACGUAGGUGGCAAGCGUUGUCCGGAAUUAUUGGGCGUAAAGCGCGCGCAGGCGGUCCUUUAAGUCUGAUGUGAAAGCCCACGGCUCAACCGUGGAGGGUCAUUGGAAACUGGGGGACUUGAGUGCAGAAGAGGAAAGUGGAAUUCCAAGUGUAGCGGUGAAAUGCGUAGAGAUUUGGAGGAACACCAGUGGCGAAGGCGACUUUCUGGUCUGUAACUGACGCUGAGGCGCGAAAGCGUGGGGAGCAAACAGG